This 334-nucleotide ribosomal RNA is filed under the name uncultured bacterium. RNAcentral describes it as "bacterial SSU rRNA". It matches the Rfam family "Bacterial small subunit ribosomal RNA", at positions 29 to 346 of the family's 1533-position model. The record is from RNAcentral.
AACGAACGCUGGCGGCGUGGAUAAGACAUGCAAGUCGAGCGGGAACUUUCGCUGUAGCAAUACAGUGAAAGUUCUAGCGGCGAACGGGUGCGUAACACGUGGACAAUCUGCCUUAAAGUGGGGGAUAGCUCGGCGAAAGCCGAAUUAAUACCGCAUGUGAUGAGAGACGACAUCGUCUUGAAAUCAAAGCCGGGGCAACCUGGCGCUUUUUGAGGAGUCCGCGGCCAUCAGCUUGUUGGUGAGGUAACGGCUCACCAAGGCUAUGACGGGUAGCUGGUCUGAGAGGACGACCAGUCACACUGGGAACUGAGACACGGUCCAGACACCUACGGGU